UGUUGUUCCAAUAGGGUCGGAAGCGUGUAAAUUAUUGUACUAAAAAAUCACACAAAGUUCAAUUUCCAGGGAAGAGAGGUGGAUCACAUGGAUCUCUUAAAUACCAAGUCUUUCCUUAGACAGAAUAUCCCUUCUAUAGUAAUUUAAUAGCACAAUUAAAUACUACUAUUAUACCCUCAAAUAUUGAAAGAAAAAUAGGACAAGAAAGAACACAAGAGAUUUAACGAGGUUCGGUAAAUUAUACCUACGUCCUCGGGCACUAACACCAGAUGAUAACUUUACUAUCUCCAAAGUAUUACAAACAAAUAGAAUUCCUUAAGAAUUCUCAAAUGGGAGAAGAGAGAAAACUAAGAGAGAAAGAUUGGUU
This 367-nucleotide long non-coding RNA is filed under the name Gossypium barbadense (sea-island cotton). RNAcentral's name for it is "long non-coding RNA (GBAR_LNC023436)". Lineage: Eukaryota; Viridiplantae; Streptophyta; Magnoliopsida; Malvales; Malvaceae. The record is from RNAcentral.